CGCUUUAAUGGGCGAACAGCCCAUUAAAGCGGUACGCGAGCUGGGUUCAGAACGUCGUGAGACAGUUCGGUCCCUAUCCGUCGCGGGCGCAGGAAAUUUGAGAGGAGCUGUCCUUAGUACGAGAGGACCGGGAUGGACACACCGCUGGUGUACCAGUUGUUCCGCCAGGAGCAUCGCUGGGUAGCUAUGUGUGGAAGGGAUAAACGCUGAAAGCAUCUAAGCGUGAAGCCCCCCUCGAGAUGAGAUUUCCCAUCACUUUAUGUGAGUAAGACCCCUGAGAGACGAUCAGGUUGAUAGGUUCGGAGUGGAAGUACAGCAAUGUAUGGAGCGGACGAAUACUAAUAGGUCGAGGACUUAACCUU
This is a non-coding RNA of Brochothrix thermosphacta, 362 nucleotides long. The record is from Rfam. NCBI's taxonomy places the organism in Bacteria, Bacillati, Bacillota, Bacilli, Caryophanales, Listeriaceae.